GAUGAACGCUGGCGGCGUGCCUAAUACAUGCAAGUCGAGCGAACGGACGAGAAGCUUGCUUCUCUGAUGUUAGCGGCGGACGGGUGAGUAACACGUGGAUAACCUACCUAUAAGACUGGGAUAACUUCGGGAAACCGGAGCUAAUACCGGAUAAUAUUUUGAACCGCAUGGUUCAAAAGUGAAAGACGGUCUUGCUGUCACUUAUAGAUGGAUCCGCGCUGCAUUAGCUAGUUGGUAAGGUAACGGCUUACCAAGGCAACGAUGCAUAGCCGACCUGAGAGAGUGAUCGGCCACACUGGAACUGAGACGCGGUCCAGACUCCUGAGGGAGGCAGCAGUAGGGAAUCUUCCGCAAUGGGCGAAAGCAUGACGGAGCAACGGCGCGUGAGUGAUGAAGGUCUUCGGAUCGUAAAACUCUGUUAUUAGGGAAGAACAUAUGUGUAAGUAACUGUGCACAUCUUGACGGUACCUAAUCAGAAAGCCACGGCUAACUACGUG
Molecule: ribosomal RNA, 497 nt
Filed under: uncultured bacterium
Lineage: Bacteria
Description: partial 16S ribosomal RNA
Rfam family: Bacterial small subunit ribosomal RNA
Source: RNAcentral